CCUACGGGCGGCAGCAGUGGGGAAUAUUGCGCAAUGGGCGAAAGCCUGACGCAGCGACGCCGCGUGAGGGAUGAAGGUCUUCGGAUCGUAAACCUCUGUCAGCAGGGAAGAACGGUCACUGUGCUAAUCAGCAGUGAAUUGACGGUACCUGCAAAGGAAGCACCGGCUAACUCCGUGCCAGCAGCCGCGGUAAUACGGAGGGUGCGAGCGUUAAUCGGAAUUACUGGGCGUAAAGCGCUCGUAGGCGGUAUGUCAAGUCAAGGGUGAAAUCCCCGCGCUCAACGUGGGAACUGCCUUUGAAACUGGCAAACUGGAGUGUGGGAGAGGAUAGUGGAAUUCCAGGUGUAGGAGUGAAAUGCGUAGAUAUCUGGAGGAACAUCAGUGGCGAAGGAGACUAUCUGGCACAUAACUGACGCUGAGGAGCGAAAGCGUGGGUAGCAAACAGGAUUAGAUACCCUAGUAGUC
This 465-nucleotide ribosomal RNA is filed under the name uncultured bacterium. RNAcentral describes it as "partial 16S ribosomal RNA". It matches the Rfam family "Bacterial small subunit ribosomal RNA", at positions 338 to 795 of the family's 1533-position model. The record is from RNAcentral.